Molecule: ribosomal RNA, 524 nt
Filed under: uncultured bacterium
Lineage: Bacteria
Description: bacterial SSU rRNA
Rfam family: Bacterial small subunit ribosomal RNA
Source: RNAcentral
UUUUGACAUGCCUGGACCGCCACGGAGACGUGGCUUUCCCUUCGGGGACUAGGACACAGGUGCUGCAUGGCUGUCGUCAGCUCGUGUCGUGAGAUGUUGGGUUAAGUCCCGCAACGAGCGCAACCCUUGCCAUUAGUUGCUACAUUUAGUUGGGCACUCUAAUGGGACUGCCGGUGACAAACCGGAGGAAGGUGGGGAUGACGUCAAGUCCUCAUGGCCCUUAUGGGUAGGGCUUCACACGUCAUACAAUGGCGGAUACAGAGGGUUGCCAACCCGCGGGGGGGAGCCAAUCCCAGAAAGUCCGUCGUAGUCCGGAUCGGAGUCUGCAACUCGACUCCGUGAAGUCGGAAUCGCUAGUAAUCGCGGAUCAGCAUGUCGCGGUGAAUACGUUCCCGGGCCUUGUACACACCGCCCGUCACACCAUGGGAGUGGGUUUCACCAGAAGCAGCUAGCCUAACCGCAAGGGGGGCGGUUGCCACGGUGAGAUUCAUGACUGGGGUGAAGUCGUAAUCAAGGUAACCGUA